This 25-nucleotide non-coding RNA is filed under the name Mus musculus (house mouse). The record is from RNAcentral. Lineage: Eukaryota; Metazoa; Chordata; Mammalia; Rodentia; Muridae.
UGAAGGUUCUAGAUUCCUCUGGUGU